Molecule: ribosomal RNA, 371 nt
Filed under: uncultured bacterium
Lineage: Bacteria
Description: bacterial SSU rRNA
Rfam family: Bacterial small subunit ribosomal RNA
Source: RNAcentral
AGAGGGGGCAAGCGUUAUUCGGAAUUAUUGGGCGUAAAGGGCGCGUAGGCGGCGAUUCAAGUGACGGGUGAAAUCCCUCGGCUUAACCGAGGAACUGCCUGUCAGACUGGGUUGCUUGAGACCGGGAGAGGCGAGUGGAAUUCCCAGUGUAGCGGUGAAAUGCGUAGAUAUUGGGAGGAACACCAGUGGCGAAGGCGGCUCGCUGGACCGGAACUGACGCUGAGGCGCGAAAGCGUGGGGAGCAAACAGGAUUAGAUACCCUGGUAGUCCACGCCGUAAACGAUGAGUGCUUGGUGUAGCGGGUAUCGACCCCUGCUGUGCCGAAGUCAACACAUUAAGCACUCCGCCUGGGGAGUACGGUCGCAAGACUG